CCCCAGUUGGUCUAGUGGUCAGGAUUCAGCUCUUUCGCAGCUGUGGCCCAGGUUCAAUACCUGGUCUGGGAA
This is a non-coding RNA of Sus scrofa (pig), 72 nucleotides long. Lineage: Eukaryota; Metazoa; Chordata; Mammalia; Artiodactyla; Suidae. The record is from the annotation of a RefSeq genome assembly.